UCCCCCAGUAGCGGCGAGCGAACGGGGAGGAGCCCAGAGUCUGAAUCAGUUUGUGUGUUAGUGGAAGCGUCUGGAAAGUCGCACGGUACAGGGUGAUAGUCCCGUACACCAAAAUGCACAGGCUGUGAACUCGAUGAGUAGGGCGGGACACGUGACAUCCUGUCUGAAUAUGGGGGGACCAUCCUCCAAGGCUAAAUACUCCUGACUGACCGAUAGUGAACCAGUACCGUGAGGGAAAGGCGAAAAGAACCCCGGCGAGGGGAGUGAAAUAGAACCUGAAACCGUGUACGUACAAGCAGUGGGAGCACCUUCGUGGUGUGACUGCGUACCUUUUGUAUAAUGGGUCAGCGACUUAUAUUUUGUAGCAAGGUUAACCGAAUAGGGGAGCCGUAGGGAAACCGAGUCUUAACUGGGCGUCUAGUUGCAAGGUAUAGACCCGAAACCCGGUGAUCUAGCCAUGGGCAGGUUGAAGGUUGGGUAACACUAACUGGAGGACCGAACCGACUAAUGUUGAAAAAUUAGCGGAUGACUUGUGGCUGGGGGUGAAAGGCCAAUCAAACCGGGAGAUAGCUGGUUCUCCCCGAAAGCUAUUUAGGUAGCGCCUCGUGAACUCAUCUUCGGGGGUAGAGCACUGUUUCGGCUAGGGGGCCAUCCCGGCUUACCAAACCGAUGCAAACUCCGAAUACCGA
Molecule: ribosomal RNA, 689 nt
Filed under: Yersinia pestis
Lineage: Bacteria; Pseudomonadati; Pseudomonadota; Gammaproteobacteria; Enterobacterales; Yersiniaceae
Description: partial 23S ribosomal RNA
Rfam family: Bacterial large subunit ribosomal RNA
Source: RNAcentral